GGCGGGCAAGCCUGAUGCAGCCAUGCCGCGUGUGUGAAGAAGGCCUUCGGGUUGUAAAGCACUUUCAGUCGUGAGGAAGGUAGUGUAGUUAAUAGCUGCAUUAUUUGACGUUAGCGACAGAAGAAGCACCGGCUAACUCCGUGCCAGCAGCCGCGGUAAUACGGAGGGUGCGAGCGUUAAUCGGAAUUACUGGGCGUAAAGCGCAUGCAGGUGGUUUGUUAAGUCAGAUGUGAAAGCCCCGGGGCUCAACCUCGGAAUUGCAUUUGAAACUGGCAGACUAGAGUACUGUAGAGGGGGUAGAAUUUCAGGUGUAGCGGUGAAAUGCGUAGAGAUCUGAAGGAAUACCGGUGGCGAAGGCGGCCCCCUGGACAGAUACUGACACUCAGAUGCGAAAGCGUGGGGAGCAAACAGGAUUAGAUACCCUGGUAG
This 429-nucleotide ribosomal RNA is filed under the name uncultured bacterium. Its description in RNAcentral is "bacterial SSU rRNA". It matches the Rfam family "Bacterial small subunit ribosomal RNA", at positions 374 to 793 of the family's 1533-position model. The record is from RNAcentral.